This 338-nucleotide long non-coding RNA is filed under the name Nicotiana benthamiana. RNAcentral describes it as "long non-coding RNA (NBEN_LNC034741)". The record is from RNAcentral. Lineage: Eukaryota; Viridiplantae; Streptophyta; Magnoliopsida; Solanales; Solanaceae.
AUAUUUAUAGUUGAGAAAUGGGUAAAAGUGUAAUUAUAUAAAGUUUGGGGCCAAAUGGCCAUUUUUAAACCUCCAAACAGUCAAACUGUAGCCCAAACGACUACUUUUUAAAAUCUGUCCCGGGCUCACGGGCUAAAUUGUGCGUACCGGCCCGUCACGGGCUUAAGAGUAACACCAGGCCCAAGACCACCAGGACUGGCCCACCAGGCCCGUUAGGCCUGCCAGGACCAUGGGCCCGGUCCGGUUCAGGCCCGGGCCACAAUACAGGGUUACAGAGAUCUAGAAAGCAAAAUGACCGAGCUGGUCGUUACACGUAUGAUAUCGUUUUACUUUUUUUU